This 355-nucleotide ribosomal RNA is filed under the name uncultured bacterium. RNAcentral's name for it is "bacterial SSU rRNA". It matches the Rfam family "Bacterial small subunit ribosomal RNA", at positions 917 to 1269 of the family's 1533-position model. The record is from RNAcentral.
GGGCUCACACAAGCGGUGGAGCAUGUGGCUUAAUUCGAGGCAACGCGAAGAACCUUAUCCUGGGUUUGACAUGUACGGAUGGCUCGCCUGAAAGGGAUGAGUCUGCCUUCGGGUGAAACGUACACAGGUGCUGCAUGGCUGUCGUCAGCUCGUGUCGUGAGAUGUAGGGUUAAGUCCUUAAACGAGCGCAACCCUUGUCCUUAGUUGCCAGCGGGUCAUGCCGGGACUCUAGGAGACCGCCGGUGUUAAACCGGAGGAAGGUGGGACGACGUCAAGUCAUCAUGGCCUUAUGCCCAGGGCUGCACACGUGCUACAAUGGCCGGUACAGAGAGCAGCCACUUCGCAAGAAGGAGCG